AUUGAACGCUGGCGGCAUGCUUUACACAUGCAAGUCGAACGGUAACAGGCCUUCGGGUGCUGACGAGUGGCGAACGGGUGAGUAAUGCAUCGGAACGUACCCAGAGGUGGGGGAUAACGCAGCGAAAGCUGUGCUAAUACCGCAUGUGAUCUGAGGAUGAAAGCGGGGGACCGAGCAGCAAUGUUUGGCCUCGCGCCUUUGGAGCGGCCGAUGUCGGAUUAGCUAGUUGGUGGGGUAAAGGCCUACCAAGGCGACGAUCCGUAGCUGGUCUGAGAGAACGACCAGCCACACUGGGACUGAGACACGGCCCAGACUCCUACGGGAGGCAGCAGUGGGGAAUUUUGGACAAUGGGCGCAAGCCUGAUCCAGCAAUGCCGCGUGCGGGAAGAAGGCCUUCGGGUUGUAAACCGCUUUUGGCAGGAACGAAACGGUGUCCGCUAAUACCGGGCGCUAAUGACGGUACCUGCAGAAUAAGCACCGGCUAACUACGUG
Molecule: ribosomal RNA, 492 nt
Filed under: uncultured bacterium
Lineage: Bacteria
Description: partial 16S ribosomal RNA
Rfam family: Bacterial small subunit ribosomal RNA
Source: RNAcentral